GCAGAUAUGAUAUCAAUAAGCGGAGGAAGUCUCCGGUACCUCUUGGCGUUUCCUCGGAUGGAUAAGCGGAGGAAGUUACGUAUAAAAAGUGUAUCUCAAGAGUGGAGAAGUCCGAUAAACCACUUAAUUAUCACAACUUUCAACAAUGGACCACUUGGUUCUGGCAUCGAUGAAGAACGCAGCGAAAUGCGAAAAGUAGUGUGAAUUGCAGAAUUCCGUGAAUCAUCGAAUCUUUGAACGCACAUUGCGCCCCUCGGUAUUCCGUGGGGCAUGCCUGUUCGAGCGUCAUUUACACCCUCAAGCUCUGCUUGGUGUUGGGCGUCUGUCCCGCCUCCGCGCGUGGACUCGCCCUAAAGUUAUUGGCAGCGGUCGUGCCAGCUUCUCGUGCAGCACAUUGCGCUUCUUGAAGCCCUGGCGGAUCGGCGUCCAGCAAGCCUCUCCAUAAUUUGACCUCGGAUCAGGUAGGGAUACCCGCUGAACUUAAGCAUAUCAUAGGC
RNAcentral lists this ribosomal RNA (497 nucleotides) under Helminthosporium sp. RNAcentral's name for it is "eukaryotic LSU rRNA". The stretch from base 135 to 288 matches the Rfam family "5.8S ribosomal RNA". Lineage: Eukaryota; Fungi; Ascomycota; Dothideomycetes; Pleosporales; Massarinaceae. The record is from RNAcentral.